UGGUCUGUUUACAGGUUUGCACAAGGGAACUGUCUCACGUAUUGUGUCUGAUGUUUUGAAUUCAUUAUGUGACAAACGGGAUGAGUUUAUCAAGCGGCCGAGAAAUGUUGAUGAAACAAGAGGAGACUUUUACCGUCUAAGUGGUUUCCCAAAUGUGCUAGGGGCAAUAGAUGGGACACACAUCCGUAUCCAGGCUCCAUCAGAAGAUGAACCAUCGUUCGUGAAUAGGAAAGGGGUACAUUCUAUCAAUGUGCAGGCUGUUUGUGAUGCCAGAGGUAAAUUCACAAACAUAAAUGCAAACUGGCCAGGUAGCAGUCAUGAUUCCCACAUAUUCAGGACUUCACAAGUGUGUACCUACAUGGAACAAAAUGAUGGAUGGCAAAUGGUGUACUGCUUGGGGAAAGUGGUUAUCCUUGUCGUCCAUUUUUGAUGACACCAUACCAGAAUCCUGUACAAGAUCAUCAGAAAAAGUACAAUAGAUGCCACUGUUCAACAAGAAGUGUGAUUGAGAGAACAUUUGUGAGGCUGAAGAGACGGUUCCAUGUAUUACACUCAGAGAUAAGAAUGACACCAAGCAAAGCAUGCAAGAUCAUCAUUGCUUUUGCUACUCUUCACAAUAUUUGCAUCUUAUUAAAUGAACCAGACAUUGAAGAUGAUGGAGUAGUGAUAGACAAUGAUGGAGAUCUUGGGGAACGUUUCUUUGGUGAUCAGGACGGAAGAGGUGUCAGAGACCACAUUUCCUCCACAUUUUUUAAUCGCUGAAAUCAUGAAUAAAACAUUG
This is a long non-coding RNA of Mytilus californianus (California mussel), 781 nucleotides long. RefSeq lists it as uncharacterized. The transcript has 4 exons. Lineage: Eukaryota; Metazoa; Mollusca; Bivalvia; Mytilida; Mytilidae. The record is from RefSeq and is a predicted model, not a curated record.